GACGAACGCUGGCGGCGUGCUUAACACAUGCAAGUCGAGCGAUGAAGUUUCUUCGGAAAUGGAUUAGCGGCGAACGGGUGAGGAACACGUGAAGAAUCUGCCCUCCACUUUGGGAUGACACAGGGAAACCUGUGCUAAUACCGAAUAUUGAAACAUAAGUGGCAUCACUGAGUUUUGAAAGAAUUUCGGUGGAGGAUGACUUCGCGGCCUAUCAGCUAGUUGGUGAGGUAAUGGCUCACCAAGGCAACGACGGGUAGCCGGCCUGAGAGGGCGCACGGCCACACUGGGACUGGGACACGGCCCAGACUCCUACGGGAGGCAGCAGUGGGGAAUAUUGGGCAAUGGAGGAAACUCUGACCCAGCGACGCCGCGUGCGGGAUGAAGGCCUUCGGGUUGUAAACCGCUUUCAGUAGGGAAGAAGCGAAAGUGACGGUACCUACAAAAGAAGCACCGGCUAACUAUGUGCCAGCCGCCGCCGUAA
RNAcentral lists this ribosomal RNA (481 nucleotides) under uncultured bacterium. RNAcentral's name for it is "partial 16S ribosomal RNA". It matches the Rfam family "Bacterial small subunit ribosomal RNA", at positions 28 to 523 of the family's 1533-position model. The record is from RNAcentral.